This 307-nucleotide ribosomal RNA is filed under the name uncultured eukaryote. RNAcentral describes it as "partial 18S ribosomal RNA". It matches the Rfam family "Eukaryotic small subunit ribosomal RNA", at positions 1470 to 1796 of the family's 1831-position model. The record is from RNAcentral.
CCCUUAGACGUUCUGGGCCGCACGCGCGCUACACUGACGAAGGCAACGAGCUUUCCUUUACCGAAAGGUACGGGUAAUCUUUUGAAACUUCGUCGUGCUGGGGAUAGAUCCUUGCAAUUUUUGAUCUUAAACGAGGAAUGCCUAGUAAGCGCAAGUCAUCAACUUGCGUUGAUUACGUCCCUGCCCUUUGUACACACCGCCCGUCGCUACUACCGGUUGAAUGGUUUAGUGAGGCCUUCGGAUCCGCGACUCGUUUGUGGAGAAGUUGGACAAACUCAGUCAUUUAGAGGAAGUAAAAGUCGUAACA